This is a non-coding RNA of Pangasianodon gigas (Mekong giant catfish), 72 nucleotides long. The record is from the annotation of a GenBank genome assembly. Lineage: Eukaryota; Metazoa; Chordata; Actinopteri; Siluriformes; Pangasiidae.
UGAUGAAUAAUAACUUUCUAAGCAUUAUAAUUCACGACUUAGUCUUUUUCACACUUCAUUAUCAAAUUAUGC